CUUUUGCCGUGUGCAAUUUCACCCUUGCAAUCACCAACUUUGUAUCUAGAUUAAAUAAUUCAGCCACCCAAUGUGUAUAUCCAUUAAAUUCCAGCAACUCAAUUUUUUUUUCUGUCUUCUCCAAUAAAUAAUAGGUAGCCACAAUUCUUUUUCAAUUUCUCCACUUUCUUUUCCACUCAAGCUGCCCAAUUAUAUGUGUGAAUCCCUCAACAAUUUUCCAAGCAGCUGCCGUUUAUACUCCAACCGUAGCCGACGUCUUCCACUCCAAUUUUCUCCCUAGUUGGCGUGUGGAAUCUAUAAUGGCAGCUGCAAUUUCUUCUUAAUUUCUCCAGCAGCAGCCCCUUUUUUUGUCUUCUCCCCGUCUCCCUCUUUUUUUCUCUCGAGUCUCU
RNAcentral lists this long non-coding RNA (389 nucleotides) under Olea europaea (common olive). RNAcentral describes it as "long non-coding RNA (OEUR_LNC012026)". The record is from RNAcentral. Lineage: Eukaryota; Viridiplantae; Streptophyta; Magnoliopsida; Lamiales; Oleaceae.